RNAcentral lists this ribosomal RNA (256 nucleotides) under uncultured bacterium. Its description in RNAcentral is "partial 16S ribosomal RNA". It matches the Rfam family "Bacterial small subunit ribosomal RNA", at positions 524 to 776 of the family's 1533-position model. The record is from RNAcentral.
UACGUAGGGUGCAAGCGUUGUCCGGAAUUAUUGGGCGUAAAGAGCUCGUAGGCGGUUUGUCGCGUCUGCUGUGAAAACGCGGGGCUCAACUCCGCGCCUGCAGUGGGUACGGGCAGACUAGAGUGCAGUAGGGGAGACUGGAAUUCCUGGUGUAGCGGUGGAAUGCGCAGAUAUCAGGAGGAACACCGGUGGCGAAGGCGGGUCUCUGGGCUGUAACUGACGCUGGAGGAGCGAAAAGCGUGGGGGAGCAAACAGG